RNAcentral lists this ribosomal RNA (2826 nucleotides) under Cucurbita pepo subsp. pepo (vegetable marrow). RNAcentral describes it as "bacterial LSU rRNA". The stretch from base 1913 to 2826 matches the Rfam family "Bacterial large subunit ribosomal RNA". The record is from RNAcentral. Lineage: Eukaryota; Viridiplantae; Streptophyta; Magnoliopsida; Cucurbitales; Cucurbitaceae.
AAUUAAUUAAUUAAUUUUUGGCUAUAUUAGUUGGUCAAAAAAUUAAAUCCCAAUAAUAUAUCAAAAAAAAGUUGAUGAGGUGGACCGUGGGGGAUGUAUAUGAAAUUGGUCCGCCAGAUGCACUGAAUUUAAUAAAUAAAUAAAUAAAUUAAUUAAUUAAAAAAAUGUAUGAAUUGAAAUAUUAUUGAGGGAGACCAGCUUUUUAGAUGUAAUAAUCAAUAAAAAUAAAAAAUAAAAAUUUAAUUUUAUUAGCAUCAGCAAACAGAGGUUGCUUACUCACCCACCUUUUGUCUGUGGGUCGCUUCACCUGGAUCCAUCAUCCUCUACGCAACAACCACAUGUCCAAAACUCCACGUAAUAUUAGCUCAAGUGGACACCACGUAAUAUUAACUCCAACCAUUUGAGCGUAGAAACUUCUUCUUAGUAGAUGCGUUUUAAAAUUAUGGGACUGACAGCGAUAAGUAACUAACUACAGCGGAUAAUAUCUAGGAGCGGUGAAGAUGUAGAGUAUCGAUGAGUGGAGUGAACGAGUUUUGGGUCGAAUCGCUUGGAUCGAAAAACUGUGUGUAACCUUUCAGUCCAUGAGUUGGUUCCCUCACUUUGUUUGUGAAUUGUGUUGAAUUGGAAGGGGGGGGGGCCUGGAUGAGGCAGAAAAGAAGCAAAACCAAGUAUAGGUUUCCCCAUAUUCUGAAAUGAAUUAAUGGGUAUUGGUACUUUUAAGAGAAUAUGAUUUGUGAGUGAAGCAUUUCCACCACAUACACACCCAAUUCUUCCUUAUUAUUAUAUUCUUCAUACCUCAACACACGUUCUCUGACACACCGUCUAAUGUCUGGUUAUGAUACCAUUUGUAACAACUCAAGCGUUCUCACUAACACACCACUUAGUGUCUGGCUCUGAUACUAUUUGUAACAACUCAAGUCUAUACUAUCUGUUAUUAUCCGCUUUGACCCGUUACGUAUCGUCAUCAGUCUCAUAGUUUUAAAACAUGUUUGCUAGGGAGAGAGAUUUCCACACUUUUAUAAAUAAUGUUUCGUUCUCCUCAUUACUCAAUGUGGGAUCUCACAAAAAGUUUUCAAAAUAAUUUUUCUUAUCUCCUCGUAUAUUGUUCUGGGCCCAACCUGUUCUCCUGGAAAUCAAAAGCUUUUUUGGGAGAUGAAACUGACGUGACAAACAAAAGCUACAAAUUACUCACUACCAAUAUAUGAUCGCGGUCAGUUUCAUGAUUUUUAAAAUGCGUUUACAAGAGAAAUGGUCUAAUCCUACUCUGAUUAGUGUCUUGCAUCAUCUUAGCUUUGAUACCGUUAGUAGAUAUUAUUUAUUUUGUCAGUUACGUGUCAUCGUCAGCUCUGGAACCGAUGUGGAAUGAUGUAUGGAUGUGGUAAAAAAGUAGCAGUUUGUAAAUUGUGUUCUUCCGAAAAUGUUGGGCCAGUGAACUGACUGAUCUUCUUUCCUUUCCUUUCGUUUUAUUUUUUAUUUUGAAAAUUGAAUUAUUUAAUGGAGCUAUAAAACCUAAACUCAUUAAUUAUUUAAUGGCUGCCCUUCUAUAUCUGUGUAUGUACACAUUGGAGUAAAUAGGCAAUACUUGUAAGAUUUUCUUCUCGUCCUUUCCAUAAAUUUCUGCACAUCUAUAAAGUUGCUAUCCAUUUUUAACCUCUACAAAAUAUAUAUAUAUAUAUAUAUAUAUAUAUACACACGCACACAUGCACAUGUCAAUGUCGAUAUAAUUAAAUUGCAUUCGGAGUGAAUAGAAAGAUCAAACGCUAGAGUUUCAAGAUGAUAUUAAUCUUUGAUUACAAUAGAAUGGUUGGUAGUGUACUGAAGACAUUUUUUUACAAUAUUUGGAGCAUGAACAAAAUAAUAUAUAUUUUAACUAGUUGAGCUAUGCUUAAAUUGACAUUGAUAAUAAAAAAAAGUUUAAUUAGUUGAGGCAAAGUCAAAGAGAAAACAAACACAUUAGAGAGGUGGAGAUGCCUGACCACUAAUCUAUAUUGAAGCGGAAGUUCCCGUUAUUUUCAUUAUGAUAUGUUUUCUGAACAUUUUUUCUUUAUGUACUUUAAAAAUAUGUAAGAGUGGAGAUUCAAAUAUUUAGGCUAGAGUUAGCUUGAUGAAUAUGUAGACUUUAACAGUAACAGUUCGAAGUUACUUUGGCCCUCGAGUGCAAAGGCAGAAGGGAGCUUGACUGCAAGAUCCACCCGUCGAGCAGGGACGAAAGUCGGCCUUAGUGAUCCGACGGUGUCGAGUGGAAGGGCCGUCACUCAACGGAUAAAAGUUACUUUAGGGAUAACAGGCUGAUCUUCCCCAAGAGCUCACAUCGACGGGAAGGUUUGGCACCUCGAUGUCGGCUCUUCGCCACCUGGGGCUGUAGUAUGUUCCAAGGGUUGGGCUGUUCGCCCAUUAAAGCGGUACGUGAGUUGGGUUCAAAACGUCGUGAGACAGUUCGGUCCAUAUCCAGUGUGGGCGUUAGAGCAUUGAGAGUACCUUUCCCUAGUACAAGAGGACCAGGAAGGACGCACCUCUUAUGUACCAGUUAUCGUGCCCAAGGUAAACGCUAGGUAGUCAAGUGUAGAGCGGAUAACUGGUGAAAGCAUCUAAGUAGUAAGUCCACCCCAAGAUGAGUGCUCUCCUAUUCCGACUUCUCCAGAGCCUCCAGUAGCACAGCCGAGACAGCGAUGGGUUUUCUGCCUCUGCAGGGAUGGAGCGACAGAAGUUCUGAGAAUUCAAGGGAAGAUCACGGCGAGAUGAGCCGUUUAUCAUCACGAUAGGUGUCAAGUGGAAGUGGAGUGAUGUAUGCAGCUGAGGCAUCCUAACGGACCAGUAGACUUGAAC